UACGUAGGUGGCAAGCGUUAUCCGGAAUUAUUGGGCGUAAAGCGCGCGUAGGCGGUUUUUUAAGUCUGAUGUGAAAGCCCCCGGCUUAACCGUGGAUGUGCAUUUGAAACUGGAAGACUUGAGUGCUGUAGAGGGGGGUAGAAUUCCAUGUGUAGCGGUGAAAUGCGCAGAGAUGUGGAGGAACACCGGUGGCGAAGGCGACCCUCUGGACUGAGACUGACGCUGAGGUGCGAAAGCGUGGGGAUCAAACAGG
This 253-nucleotide ribosomal RNA is filed under the name uncultured bacterium. Its description in RNAcentral is "partial 16S ribosomal RNA". It matches the Rfam family "Bacterial small subunit ribosomal RNA", at positions 524 to 776 of the family's 1533-position model. The record is from RNAcentral.